CAUUUAUAAUUCAUUAGCAAUGAAACUUCAAAAAUUUGAGAUAAGCUAUGAGUUUCAGAUUAUGUAUCGGGGUGCGAGAGGUGCGUGCCAAAUUCUGAAUUUAUAUGUGCCAAAUUCUGAAUUGUGAUAGAAAUUUUUGAUUUGAUGAUUUUCAUUGUUACAAACUGCUCCCCCUUAGAUAUAUAAGCUUUCUUAUAUGAUUUUCAAUUUGUUUGCCCAUUUAUUUCUCUUUUCUUUACAUAACUUCUUUAUUCACUCUUUCUCACAAAGUUAAUACUCUUUCUUUAUUCACUUUCUUUACACACUCUAAACACUAUCUUUACUUCUCCCCUUUUUGUUAUACAUAUCUUUACUUCUCCCAAGAUUAAUAUUCUUUCUUUACUUCUCAAAUAAAAUACUCUUUCUUUUCUUAAAUUAAAUGCUCUUUCUUUUCUUAAAUUGAUAUACUCUUUCUUUUCUUCUCCCCCUUUUUGUUAUCAUCAAAAAUAUAUAUGGGAA
This 498-nucleotide long non-coding RNA is filed under the name Phoenix dactylifera (date palm). RNAcentral describes it as "long non-coding RNA (PDAC_LNC019464)". Lineage: Eukaryota; Viridiplantae; Streptophyta; Magnoliopsida; Arecales; Arecaceae. The record is from RNAcentral.